RNAcentral lists this ribosomal RNA (510 nucleotides) under Triticum aestivum (bread wheat). RNAcentral describes it as "partial small subunit ribosomal RNA". The record is from RNAcentral. Lineage: Eukaryota; Viridiplantae; Streptophyta; Magnoliopsida; Poales; Poaceae.
AUGGCCUGGAGCUCGAAAGCGCCGAGGCAGUGCCGAUUUUUUGCUUGGCUGGCGGGAAGAAAUAGAUGUUGGACCUCGGACCGUUUAGCUCGCCGCGGCUUGCCCCACCAGGCUGCUUGCCCCUUGUGCGAUCAAGAGCCAGAGACCUUGAAUCAUGUGCUCAUCCAGUGCGUUCUCGCCAGAGUAGUGUGGCACCAGGUGUUUGGUGCGCUCGGUAGACCGGAGCUCACUCCGGAGACCGGCGACGCGGUGGUGGAGUGGUGCAAUGCCUGCGCCCGGAGGGCCCCCUCCAAGAAGGAAGCGAAGGACAUACAGACCAUGGUGUCUCUAGUACUGUGGGAACUUUGGAAGCAUCGGAAUGCGAUAGUUUUUGAAGGGGCGACCCCCUCUGCCAAGGUGGUGAUCGCUAGGGUUGAGAGCGAGGCCCGGGCUUGGAGUGCGGCUGGUCUGCUCAAGGGCGACCUCUCCCCCUUCCUUGGUUCUCUAGCUAGGUGGGUAGCGGGCGAAUAG